UAGUCCACGCCGUAAACGAUGUCUACUAGCCGUUGGGAUCCUUGAGAUCUUAGUGGCGCAGCUAACGCAAUAAGUAGACCGCCUGGGGAGUACGGUCGCAAGAUUAAAACUCAAAUGAAUUGACGGGGGCCCGCACAAGCGGUGGAGCAUGUGGUUUAAUUCGAUGCAACGCGAAGAACCUUACCAGGCCUUGACAUCCUAAGAAUCUUUGAGAGAUCAGAGAGUGCCUUCGGGAAUUUAGUGACAGGUGCUGCAUGGCUGUCGUCAGCUCGUGUCGUGAGAUGUUGGGUUAAGUCCCGUAACGAGCGCAACCCUUGUCCCUAGUUGCUAACAUUAAGUUGAGAACUCUAAGGAGACUGCCGGUGACAAACCGGGAGGAAGGUGGGGACGACGUCAAGUCAUCAUGGCCCUUACGGGCCUGGGGCUACACACGUGCUACAAUGGCCAGGGACAAACGGGUUGCGAGCCCGCGAGGGGGAAGC
RNAcentral lists this ribosomal RNA (482 nucleotides) under uncultured bacterium. RNAcentral describes it as "bacterial SSU rRNA". It matches the Rfam family "Bacterial small subunit ribosomal RNA", at positions 791 to 1268 of the family's 1533-position model. The record is from RNAcentral.